GCUGGAUCGUAAGUUUUCCAGUUCCAGACGUUCUAGUAUUCCAGUAGUCAGCUGCUGACUGACCCGACUGGACUGGACCGACUGGUUCCUUUCACUCACGCUUCGCAGUCAUAUUAAUUAGUUAUCCUGUGCGUCGUUGCCUUUGCGACUGAUAACGGUUAUCUAAGUGUUCAUUCAGCAGCAGCUGCGUUGUACAUUAUCAUUUAUCACACAUUCUCCGUGGUGGGCCGACAAUCAAACGACGGAUUCGAUUUGCUAGUAGGUAUCUCGCGAUUUGACUUAACGCGCGACUUUUUUAACUUCGCGCUCGUCGAUAAUUAAGUGUGAAUUGUGACUUGUAUCACCUGUGACAUUAUAGAGCCCUAUUUUUAAGGUAGUUAAUCGUCAUUCGUCACUCGCCAUGCAAAAUUGGUUGGAGUUCCAAGCGGUCGUCAUGGCCGCCGGAAAAGGGUCUCGAAUACCCGAGAUGACUGCUACAAAACCCAAGUGUCUGUUGCCAGUCGGCAACAAGCCAAUGAUAUACUAUCCGCUCAAGUUGCUCGAAAACGCUGGGUUUAGAGAUACAAAAAUAAUAGUAGCAGAUAAUUUUCUUGUUGAUAUACAAGAAGAAGUAGAUCAACUUGGUUUAGAAAUUAAUUUGAGUUUUGUUCCGAUUCAAUCUGAUAAGGAUUGGGGUACAGCUGAUUCUCUUCGACAUAUCUCUGAUAAUAUCCUAACUGAUGUCAUCGUUCUUAGUUGUGAUUUAAUUACUGAUAUCGAUUUACACCAAGUUUUAAAUGUCUACAGAAAUAAUAAUGCGUCUUUAGUAUCUUUGUAUUUUUCACCAUCACAAGAUGAACAAUGUGUUUUUACUGUACCUGGGCCUAAAUCAAAGAAUAAAUUUGAAAAAGAUAUUAUUGGAUAUGAUUCAAAAACAUCUAGACUUUUAUUAAUGGCUUCAGCUUCAGAUUAUGAAGAAACUAUGCCAAUUAGUAGUGCAUUACUAAAUAAGUGUUCAAAUUUGACUCUUUGCUCUAAAUUAUUAGAUUCCCAUAUGUAUAUUAUGAAACGUUGGCUAGUUAACUAUCUCGUAAAAGACGUUGAUAUUUCAACUCUUAAAGGAGAGCUACUUCCAUUUGUGGUUAAAAAACAACUAUCAAGACAUUGUAAAAAUAUUACAUUGAAUGAAAAGUGUAUAGAAGAUGAAGAAGAUGAAAAACCUGAUAUUUUUAACAUAUCAAAAGAAUCUGAUAUUGAAACUAAUAUUCGUUCGAUGUCUUGUUUUGGUAAUACAUAUAACUUUGAAGAGAUAAUUAAAUGUUAUGCAUUUGUAGCUGAUUCAAAUAUUGGAAUACGUGCAAACACUUUGUAUGAUUAUUGUAGAAUCAAUAAAAUAAUUCACAAGUUAAACAUAAAUUUAGGGGAUGAAAAAGAUAAAAUUUCACCAGAAGCUGAAAUUUUGUCAAAUCAAUUUGAUAAGGAAACUUGUUUUGUUGGACCUAACACUAAAAUAAUGGAGAAAACAUCCAUUAAAAGUAGCACUAUUGGUUCAAGAUGUACAAUUAAUCCAAAAACUAGAAUAACUGAUUGUAUUUUAAUGAAUGGUGUUACUAUUGAAGAGAGAUCAGGCCUUUUGACAAUUUUUUUUUCGGCUAUCAUUUUCGAUAAUCAUUCAAAUGCAAGCUAAAAGCUGGUUGGAAUAAUAUAAAUAACACUGGAAAUGUAAUAUUUGGUGUAUGUUAGCUAUGUUCAAAGUUGCCUCUAACAUGCUUAAAUGAGACAGAAUGUGUACUUCACAAUUGUAUAGUAUGUCAUGAUGCUGUAAUCAGUGCUGGCUGUGAACUUAAAGACUGUUUGAUAAGCGGUAAUUUUAAGGUCCCGUCUGGAGGAAAACAUUAUAAUGAAGUACUCACUGCUAUGGAGAGACUGAUGG
Aphis gossypii (cotton aphid) is the source of this 1912-nucleotide RNA transcript. It is a transcript of the gene named translation initiation factor eIF-2B subunit gamma, with no coding region annotated. The record is from RefSeq and is a predicted model, not a curated record. The transcript is spliced from 9 exons. Lineage: Eukaryota; Metazoa; Arthropoda; Insecta; Hemiptera; Aphididae.